AUGAUCUACACAUUAUGGGAGAGUCCAAUAAAAGAAGACGGGUCAUUCUUCAAUAUCAGCUCUUUCCUGAUAGUCAAAAU
This 80-nucleotide long non-coding RNA is filed under the name Canis lupus dingo (dingo). RNAcentral's name for it is "Deleted in lymphocytic leukemia 2 conserved region 5 (ENSCAFG00020022627.1)". It matches the Rfam family "Deleted in lymphocytic leukemia 2 conserved region 5". Lineage: Eukaryota; Metazoa; Chordata; Mammalia; Carnivora; Canidae. The record is from RNAcentral.